Molecule: ribosomal RNA, 405 nt
Filed under: uncultured bacterium
Lineage: Bacteria
Description: bacterial SSU rRNA
Rfam family: Bacterial small subunit ribosomal RNA
Source: RNAcentral
AUUGAACGCUGGCGGCAUGCCUUACACAUGCAAGUCGAACGGCAGCACGGGAGCAAUCCUGGUGGCGAGUGGCGAACGGGUGAGUAAUAUAUCGGAACGUGCCCAGUCGUGGGGAUAACGUAGCGAAAGCUACGCUAAUACCGCAUACGAUCUAUGGAUGAAAGCGGGGGAUCGCAAGACCUCGCGCGAUUGGAGCGGCCGAUAUCAGAUUAGGUAGUUGGUGAGGUAAAGGCUCACCAAGCCGACGAUCUGUAGCUGGUCUGAGAGGACGACCAGCCACACUGGGACUGAGACACGGCCCAGACUCCUACGGGAGGCAGCAGUGGGGAAUUUUUGGACAAUGGGCGCAAGCCUGAUCCAGCAAUGCCGCGUGCAGGAUGAAGGCCUUCGGGUUGUUAACGUAGU